Long non-coding RNA from Acinonyx jubatus (cheetah), 943 nucleotides. RefSeq lists it as uncharacterized. The transcript is spliced from 3 exons. Lineage: Eukaryota; Metazoa; Chordata; Mammalia; Carnivora; Felidae. The record is from RefSeq and is a predicted model, not a curated record.
UAAGCACAAGUGGAGUAAGCUCACAUUGCUCACCGAGAGCUGGCCGACCUCAGGUGGAGAUCACGGACAAAGGGCCUUAAAUGCGGAACGAGAAUGUGAUAGCAAGAAGCCACUCCUUAGCAGACUCCUGGCAUCGAGCCAUGAAUCCAGGCCCACAUAUUCUGCCCACUGGCUACUGGGUUAUUCCGUAAAGCUGGAGAUGUAGUGUGGCUACUGGAGCUCCUUCACAGAGAGAAGCUGGACAUUUAAAUGGAGACCAAGAGCCAACACUCAACAAUGGAGGGUCACCCAACAAUGGAGAGGAAGCAGAUGUUGGAGGAAACACAGGGAGUCCAGCACAAAGAUACCUAUGCUUGACCAGCUUUUAGUUCACAGGUAAGCAUCUUUUCCGCUUAACUUAUAAAAUGUCUCAAUCACAUUCUACUCAAACUCUAACACUUUUUUAAACUGUUCUUUAUUCCAGCAUCUGGAAUUGAAAGCUUAACUCAUUUACCUUCUUUCUUGCCCAGGAUGAAUGCCUAUCUAGAAAUACUGGAGUUUCAGGGGCCAUCUGUCUAAAAUGCAGUAAGAAUUUAUCAAAGUCUCCACCCACCUCAUGACGAGGGCUGGAGGACAGCAGUGGACAAGGGUGAGAAAUCACAAGACCUGAGUUCUAGCCCCACCACCUACUGGUUCUUGCACCUCAUGUAAUUUCUCCUGCCAGAGUCUCCAGUUCCUUAGCUAUGAACCGGAACACCUAUAAUACACCAACUCACCUCACGAGCUUGUGGGAUCAAAUGAAGCGGAGCCUGUUGCAAACUGUAAAGUUCUAUGUGAUUGUUUUUACUAUCCCAACCACAAUCUAUGGCCAGGCAGCUCUUCAUAUAGGAGACAGAUUUCUUCCCCUUGGCAAUAAUUGUAAGUAAUAUAUUCCAGGAUGUUUUGCAUUUUCCUGUGCUUAAAA